This 594-nucleotide ribosomal RNA is filed under the name Melophagus ovinus. RNAcentral describes it as "SSU rRNA". It matches the Rfam family "Eukaryotic small subunit ribosomal RNA", at positions 527 to 1052 of the family's 1831-position model. The record is from RNAcentral. Lineage: Eukaryota; Metazoa; Arthropoda; Insecta; Diptera; Hippoboscidae.
AGCAUUACUUUACAGGACCUAUUGGAGGGCAAGUUCUGGUGCCAGCAGCCGCGGUAACUCCAGCUCCAAUAGCGUAUAUUAAUGUUGUUGCGGUUAAAACGUUCGUAGUUGAACUUGUGCUUCAUACGGGUAGUACAACUAUAAUUUUAGAUUGUGCUAUACCUUAUGUAUGUAAGCGUAUUACCGGUGGGGUUCUUAUAUGCAAAUGUAAUACUUGUAUUCUUUUGUAUAUUCCUCCUAUUUAAACCUGCCUCAAUGCUCUUCAUCGGGUGUUGUUGCGGGCCGGUACAAUUACUUUGAACAAAUUAGAGUGCUUAAAGCAGGCUCCAAAUGCCUGAAUAUUUUGUGCAUGGAAUAAUGGAAUAAGACCUCUGUUCUACUUUCAUUGGUUUUUAGAUCAAGAGGUAAUGAUUAAUAGAAGCAGUUUGGGGGCAUUAGUAUUACGACGCGAGAGGUGAAAUUCUUGGACCGUCGUAAGACUAACUUAAGCGAAAGCAUUUGCCAAAGAUGUUUUCAUUAAUCAAGAACGAAAGUUAGAGGUUCGAAGGCGAUCAGAUACCGCCCUAGUUCUAACCAUAAACAUUGGCCAGGCUA